RNAcentral lists this microRNA precursor (197 nucleotides) under Oryza nivara. RNAcentral describes it as "MIR812 microRNA precursor family". It matches the Rfam family "MIR812 microRNA precursor family". The record is from Rfam by way of RNAcentral. Lineage: Eukaryota; Viridiplantae; Streptophyta; Magnoliopsida; Poales; Poaceae.
AAUAAGUGCAGCCGUGGAUAUCCGUGCCCAACGUUUAACCAUCCGUCUUAUUUGAAAAAUUUGAAGAUAUUUAGUCACACAUAGAGUACUAUUCAUGUUUUAUCAUCUAAUAGCAAUACAAAUACUAAUCAUAAAUUUUUUUCAAAUAAGACGAACAGUCAAACAUUGAACGUGAAUAGUGCAAAACUGCACUUAUU